Molecule: ribosomal RNA, 497 nt
Filed under: uncultured bacterium
Lineage: Bacteria
Description: partial 16S ribosomal RNA
Rfam family: Bacterial small subunit ribosomal RNA
Source: RNAcentral
GAUGAACGCUGGCGGCGUGCCUAAUACAUGCAAGUCGAGCGAACAGACGAGGAGCUUGCUCCUCUGACGUUAGCGGCGGACGGGUGAGUAACACGUGGAUAACCUACCUAUAAGACUGGGAUAACUUCGGGAAACCGGAGCUAAUACCGGAUAAUAUAUUGAACCGCAUGGUUCAAUAGUGAAAGACGGUUUUGCUGUCACUUAUAGAUGGAUCCGCGCCGCAUUAGCUAGUUGGUAAGGUAACGGCUUACCAAGGCAACGAUGCGUAGCCGACCUGAGAGGGUGAUCGGCCCCCCUUGAACCGAGACCCCGUCCCGACUCCUACGGGAGGCCGCAGUAGGGAAUCUUCCGCAAUGGGCGGAAGCCUGACGGAGCCACGCCGCGUGAGUGAUGAAGGUCUUCGGAUCGUAAAACUCUGUUAUUAGGGAAGAACAAAUGUGUAAGUAACUAUGCACGUCUUGACGGUACCUAAUCAGAAAGCCACGGCUAACUACGUG